AGUGAACGCUGGCGGUAGGCCUAACACAUGCAAGUCGAACGGCAGCACAGGAGAGCUUGCUCUCUGGGUGGCGAGUGGCGGACGGGUGAGGAAUACAUCGGAAUCUACUCUGUCGUGGGGGAUAACGUAGGGAAACUUACGCUAAUACCGCAUACGACCUACGGGUGAAAGCAGGGGAUCUUCGGACCUUGCGCGAUUGAAUGAGCCGAUGUCGGAUUAGCUAGUUGGCGGGGUAAAGGCCCACCAAGGCGACGAUCCGUAGCUGGUCUGAGAGGAUGAUCAGCCACACUGGAACUGAGACACGGUCCAGACUCCUACGGGAGGCAGCAGUGGGGAAUAUUGGACAAUGGGCGCAAGCCUGAUCCAGCCAUACCGCGUGGGUGAAGAAGGCCUUCGGGUUGUAAAGCCCUUUUGUUGGGAAAGAAAUCCAGCUGGCUAAUACCCGGUUGGGAUGACGGUACCCAAAGAAUAAGCACUGGCUAACUUCGUGCCAGCAGCCGCGGUAAUACGAAGGGUGCAAGUGUUACUCGGAAUUACUGGGCGUAAAGCGUGCGUAGGUGGUCGUUUAAGUCCGUUGUGAAAGCCCUGGGCUCAACCUGGGAACUGCAGUGGAUACUGGGCGACUAGAGUGUGGUAGAGGGUAGCGGAAUUCCUGGUGUAGCAGUGAAAUGCGUAGAGAUCAGGAGGAACA
RNAcentral lists this ribosomal RNA (691 nucleotides) under uncultured Pseudomonadota bacterium. RNAcentral's name for it is "bacterial SSU rRNA". It matches the Rfam family "Bacterial small subunit ribosomal RNA", at positions 28 to 708 of the family's 1533-position model. Lineage: Bacteria; Pseudomonadati; Pseudomonadota. The record is from RNAcentral.